Molecule: microRNA precursor, 103 nt
Filed under: Marmota monax (woodchuck)
Lineage: Eukaryota; Metazoa; Chordata; Mammalia; Rodentia; Sciuridae
Source: RNAcentral
AGUGGAAUUACUGAGUCAUGUGAUAACUCCAUGUUUAACUUUCUGAGGAAAUGCCAAACUGUUCUCCAAAGUAGCUCUACCAUUUUACAUUCUCAAGGAUAGU